This 333-nucleotide ribosomal RNA is filed under the name Blackburnia cephalotes. Its description in RNAcentral is "partial 28S ribosomal RNA". Lineage: Eukaryota; Metazoa; Arthropoda; Insecta; Coleoptera; Carabidae. The record is from RNAcentral.
GAUGGUUCGAUUAGUCUUUCGCCCCUAUACCCAGUUCAUACGAUCGAUUUGCACGUCAGAAUCGCUACGGACCUCCAUCAGGGUUUCCCCUGACUUCAUCCUGACCAGGCAUAGUUCACCAUCUUUCGGGUCCCAGCGUGUACGCUCUUGGUGCGCCACAACUUGCAAUAAGUAUGCAACGCCCCGGGAAUGCGAGGUUACAUAUAUAACGUAACCCAUCUUCCCUUUAUAAAAAUAUAUAUAAUUAAUAAAAAUUAUACAUAUAUACAAUUCACUUUCAUUACGCCUUUAGGUUUAUUAUAAAUACCCAAUGACUUGCGCACAUGCUAGAUG